RNAcentral lists this long non-coding RNA (335 nucleotides) under Homo sapiens (human). RNAcentral describes it as "PRR15 divergent transcript". Lineage: Eukaryota; Metazoa; Chordata; Mammalia; Primates; Hominidae. The record is from RNAcentral.
GUGCAGUGCCGCUCCCCCGACCGACUCCUUGAGAAGAAACGGCGGAGACCUGAGACCCGGAGGCUGAGGCUGUAGAUGAAAUUGAAUCAUGGAAGAAUGCCUUUAUCUGAGGAGUCAUCACCACUAGGGAGCUAUGGAGGCUGUUAUCCUUGACAUCUGCAGCAGCCCUUCCAAGCUGUGGAGACCAGGUCAUCUGGAAUGCCCAUUUAUGUCAAUGGAAGAAAGAAAAAGGGGUCUCCUCCCAUCCUCACCACUGCAUUCUCCCACCAACCCUGCUCCUGUCCCACUUCCCACAACUCAGUUGUUGACAAUUUAACAGUGGGUUUCUGGAAACA